Molecule: long non-coding RNA, 2065 nt
Organism: Anolis carolinensis (green anole)
Lineage: Eukaryota; Metazoa; Chordata; Lepidosauria; Squamata; Anolidae
Exons: 3
Source: RefSeq, a predicted model, not a curated record
UUCCUAUGAAACAAAAACAAACAAAAUUAAAAAAUAAGGGUAUAUUCAAUGCUAAUUUGUGUUUUCCUGUUGAUUUUAUUUUGUUAGCUGGAGUCAUCAAAAACAACACAGAAAGCCAUGUAACUGACUACUUGGAUCUGGAUCCAAUUUUAGUCCAAUUGAAUAAGCUGGAACUUGGAGGAGAUUUUGAUUUAAAGAGUCACAAAAGUUGCAAAUAUUUUGGACUUCAACACCCAUAAAUGCCAGCCAACAACCAAAAUAUCAAGAAGGAAUCACUGCAGAGGGCUUCUGCAUUAUGAGAAAGAGGACUUGGCCUCCUAACUCUCCGAGGAGAUAAUGCUCCUAGAGGUGCAAAGAUUACUGCAGAAGCAGACUGCAGCCAGGAAAUCAGAAGACUUUUACUUCUUGUGAGGAGAGCAAUGACCAACCUCGAUAAAAUAGUGAAGAGUAGAGACAUCACACUGGCAACAAAGGUUUGCAUAGUUAAAGCAAUGGUAUUCCCUGUUGUGAGAGCUGGACCAUAAGGAAGGCUGAGCAAAGGAAGAUAGAGGCUUUUGAACUGUGCUGUUGGAGGAAAGUUCUAGGCACAAAGAUCACUGCAGAUGCAGACUGCAGCCAGGAAAUUAGAAGACGUUUACUUCUUGGGAGGAGAGCAAUGACUAAUCUCUAUAAAAUAGUGAAAAGUAGAGACAUCACACCGGCAAUGAAGGUCCACAUAGUUAAAGCAACGGUAUUCCCCAUAGUUAACCUAUGGAUGCGAGAGCUGGACCAUAAGGAUGUGACAGCUGGACCAUAAGGAAGACUGAGUGAAGGAAGAUAGAUGCUUUUGAACUGUGGUGUUGGAGGAAAAUUCGGAGAGUGCCUUGGACCGCAAGAAGAUCAAACCUGUCCAUACUCCAGGAAAUAAUGUCUGGCUGCUCACUGGAGGGAAGGAUAUUAGAGGCAAAGAUGAAGUACUUUGGCCACAUAAUGAGGAGGCAGGAAAGCUUGAAGAGAAUGAUGCUGGGGAAAAUGGAAGGAAAAAAGAAGAGGGGCUGACCAAGGACAAGAUGGAUGGAUGGUAUCCUUGGAGUGACUGGCUUGACCUUGAAGGAACUGGAGGCGGCGACGGAUGACAGGAAGCUCUGACAUGGGCUGGUUUAUGAGGUCACGAAGAGUCAGAAGCGACUGAAUUAAUAAACAACAACAUGGAGUUGAUUACCUGGAUAAUGUACAUAGCAAUUACCGUGUUUCCCCGAAAAUAAGACAGUGUCUUAUAUUAAUUUUUGCUCCCAAAGAUGCGCUAGGUCUUAUUUUCAGGGGAUGUCUUAGUUUUCCAUAAAGAAGAAUUCACAUGUAUUGUUGAACAAAAAAAAAAAGAACAUUGAUUAUAUUCUGUACAGUAGUUGUCAUUACAAACCAGCAUAACCAGACAAACUGAAUCCUAUCAAGAAUUUCUUGUUACUACCAUUAUUUCCAUGUACAACACUCUAUGAUACGUACAUUUACCAAUCCUGCAUGCUGUGGUGUUCUGUUUGGCAGGCAUGCUUCCAAACAAAAACUUUGCUAGGUCUUACUUUCGGGGGAGGCCUUAUAUUUAGCAAUUCAGCAAAACUUCUACUAGGUCUUAUUUUCUGGGGAUGUCUUAUUUUAGGGGAAAUAAAGUACUUGUUGUUGUUGCUGGUUCCAAAAUGUUGAGAGAGAAAAAACCAAAGUACAAGAGGACACAGCUAUGUACUGAAUGUACUUACUUGCUUGUUAAUGUGGGAUUUGUGUAUUGAUAGUGUUUAAAUGCAAUUUGUGCCAUGCUUGUAUUGCAACUGAUUGCAUCAUCCAGAAUGUACCAUAAUGUGGAAAGAGUUAAUUGCCAAGAAGCUAUGAUGACCUUGAUGUGUGGCUCAAACUAGGGAGUAUCCAGACACAAGUGUUUGUGCAUAACGAUUCAGUUCAGUUGAGUUCUGUCUGCCUAGAGUUCGAGUCAAGUUCUGUUGGAGAACAGAGCAGUCCUGUGUUUGUCUGUCGUCUGCAAGUCUGUUUGUGAUUAUUAUUGCUGCAUACAGUAAAACUUUGUAAAUAGUUUUACCAA